This 322-nucleotide ribosomal RNA is filed under the name Bacillus velezensis. RNAcentral describes it as "bacterial LSU rRNA". It matches the Rfam family "Bacterial large subunit ribosomal RNA", at positions 1126 to 1453 of the family's 2925-position model. Lineage: Bacteria; Bacillati; Bacillota; Bacilli; Caryophanales; Bacillaceae. The record is from RNAcentral.
AAGAGUGCGUAAUAGCUCACUGGUCGAGUGACUCUGCGCCGAAAAUGUACCGGGGCUAAACGUAUCACCGAAGCUGCGGACUGUUCUUCGAACAGUGGUAGGAGAGCGUUCUAAGGGCUGUGAAGCAAGACCGGAAGGACUUGUGGAGCGCUUAGAAGUGAGAAUGCCGGUAUGAGUAGCGAAAGAGGGGUGAGACUCCCCUCCACCGAAUGCCUAAGGUUUCCUGAGGAAGGCUCGUCCGCUCAGGGUUAGUCGGGACCUAAGCCGAGGCCGAAAGGCGUAGGCGAUGGAUAACAGGUUGAUAUUCCUGUACCACCUCCUC